RNAcentral lists this transfer RNA (72 nucleotides) under Ovis aries (sheep). It matches the Rfam family "tRNA". Rfam says of the family: Transfer RNA (tRNA) molecules are approximately 80 nucleotides in length. Lineage: Eukaryota; Metazoa; Chordata; Mammalia; Artiodactyla; Bovidae. The record is from Rfam by way of RNAcentral.
UCCUUGGUUGUUCAGUGGCUAAGACUCUGCACUCCCACUGGAGGGGCCUGGGUUUGAUUCCUGGUCAGGGAA